AAAAUACAACCACCAAGUCCUUAGACAUGCUCGUGUAGUGUGGGUUAAAUUGUAUCAAACAGGUAUAUUCAUUUACCGGGACGUUCAUAUACGGAUAUUAUUUAUUUAAGUGAACAUCAAAGUGUUAUGACAGUAAAUUAGUAGAUCAUAGUCCCUUCUUCUUCCCAUGCCUUCUGGAGACAUACCAAUGUGUAAUCAUUUCAUCAUUUUCAGAACACCCUGCCAUAAGUUAGGCUGAGUUUCCAACCCAAUGAGAAGAAUGCCUAUUUUUAUGACCAGUGAAACAAAAAUGCUUAGAAGUACAUACAUCAAAAGCUCAAUACAACAAGAAAACAAGUUACAGCACAGCUCAACCAUCCUGACACAAACUAUGUCCAGACAGAAC
Molecule: non-coding RNA, 385 nt
Organism: Pelobates cultripes (western spadefoot toad)
Lineage: Eukaryota; Metazoa; Chordata; Amphibia; Anura; Pelobatidae
Source: the annotation of a GenBank genome assembly